AUGGGCCUGGCCUCAGGGCGUCUCCACACGGGAGCUAGCGGUGGCUGCGAGUGCCUGCUGCUGGUCGUACACCGUUGUGACGGCGCGCUCCACUCCGUGGUUGUCAAAGUAGUGCACGGUGGCCAUGUGCCAGUGCCCACGUCCUCGGACGGCAGCGCCAGCGCAUUCACAGGGAAACAGGGUCGCACAUCACGAAGGGCGCCAUGCACAUGCCAUCUCGGGCUCCUGCGUCGCGGCACCAGCAGUCUCAGCACGGCUGCAUGGCUCGCUGGACCUGGUUUCGACAAUUGA
RNAcentral lists this ribosomal RNA (291 nucleotides) under Triticum aestivum (bread wheat). Its description in RNAcentral is "partial small subunit ribosomal RNA". The record is from RNAcentral. Lineage: Eukaryota; Viridiplantae; Streptophyta; Magnoliopsida; Poales; Poaceae.